AAAAUCCGUCGACUUAGAAUCGUAGGGUUCAAGUCCCUCUAUCCCCA
This 47-nucleotide transfer RNA is filed under the name Homalomena rubescens. Its description in RNAcentral is "partial tRNA-Leu". The record is from RNAcentral. Lineage: Eukaryota; Viridiplantae; Streptophyta; Magnoliopsida; Alismatales; Araceae.